GGGGGCGCACCGGAUUCGACGGGAUUGAAUCGCGAUGCGGAGGCGUGCCGGGUUCCGAGCUCCCGUAAAACGAUCGGAAAAACAAAACUGCCAAUACCAACAUGCAGUUUGCUUACGCUGCUUAAUUAAAACCUAAGUCAGCGCGCUCCGGCGGGGCAGCUCACGGCCUUGUCAGUGAGUGUCAUUUAGUGGGAUAGGGUGCAGGCUUCUGUUCGGAGCCGAGACCCGAGAUCAAUCGGACUGGUCCUUCGCUGUCUUGCCCGGUUCUUAGGCGAGGGAUGAGAUUCAGAAUCAGGAUACGCACGUAGGCUCUUCAUUUCGGGCUUUUCCGGACGGGGGUUCAACUCCCCCCGCCUCCACCA
RNAcentral lists this transfer-messenger RNA (362 nucleotides) under Acidobacteriota bacterium. It matches the Rfam family "transfer-messenger RNA". Rfam says of the family: Bacterial tmRNA, also known as 10Sa RNA or SsrA, is named for its dual tRNA and mRNA-like properties. Its role is to liberate the mRNA from a stalled ribosome. To accomplish this part of the tmRNA is used as a reading frame that ends in a translation stop signal. The record is from RNAcentral. Lineage: Bacteria; Pseudomonadati; Acidobacteriota.